This is a transfer RNA of Sphingomonas sp. WG, 60 nucleotides long. It matches the Rfam family "tRNA", at positions 1 to 57 of the family's 71-position model. Rfam says of the family: Transfer RNA (tRNA) molecules are approximately 80 nucleotides in length. Their secondary structure includes four short double-helical elements and three loops (D, anti-codon, and T loops). Further hydrogen bonds mediate the characteristic L-shaped molecular structure. tRNAs have two regions of fundamental functional importance: the anti-codon, which is responsible for specific mRNA codon recognition, and the 3' end, to which the tRNAs corresponding amino acid is attached (by aminoacyl-tRNA synthetases). tRNAs cope with the degeneracy of the genetic code in two manners: having more than one tRNA (with a specific anti-codon) for a particular amino acid; and 'wobble' base-pairing, i.e. permitting non-standard base-pairing at the 3rd anti-codon position. The record is from Rfam. NCBI's taxonomy places the organism in Bacteria, Pseudomonadati, Pseudomonadota, Alphaproteobacteria, Sphingomonadales, Sphingomonadaceae.
GCGCCCGUAGCUCAGCUGGAUAGAGCAUCAGACUACGAAUCUGAGGGUCGGACGUUCGAA